RNAcentral lists this ribosomal RNA (441 nucleotides) under uncultured Rhodobacter sp. Its description in RNAcentral is "bacterial SSU rRNA". It matches the Rfam family "Bacterial small subunit ribosomal RNA", at positions 337 to 795 of the family's 1533-position model. Lineage: Bacteria; Pseudomonadati; Pseudomonadota; Alphaproteobacteria; Rhodobacterales. The record is from RNAcentral.
UCCUACGGGUGGCAGCAGUGGGGAAUCUUAGACAAUGGGGGAAACCCUGAUCUAGCCAUGCCGCGUGAUCGAUGAAGGCCUUAGGGUUGUAAAGAUCUUUCAGUGGGGAAGAUAAUGACUGUACCCACAGAAGAAGCCCCGGCUAACUCCGUGCCAGCAGCCGCGGUAAUACGGAGGGGGCUAGCGUUGUUCGGAAUUACUGGGCGUAAAGCGCACGUAGGCGGAACAGAAAGUCAGAGGUGAAAUCCCAGGGCUCAACCUUGGAACUGCCUUUGAAACUCCUGUUCUUGAGGUCGAGAGAGGUGAGUGGAAUUCCGAGUGUAGAGGUGAAAUUCGUAGAUAUUCGGAGGAACACCAGUGGCGAAGGCGGCUCACUGGCUCGAUACUGACGCUGAGGUGCGAAAGCGUGGGGAGCAAACAGGAUUAGAUACCCGGGUAGUC